RNAcentral lists this long non-coding RNA (236 nucleotides) under Pan troglodytes (chimpanzee). RNAcentral's name for it is "long non-coding RNA NONPTRT009475". The record is from RNAcentral. Lineage: Eukaryota; Metazoa; Chordata; Mammalia; Primates; Hominidae.
UGAGACAAUAUAUUUCUGUUGUUUUAAGCCUCCCAGUUAAUGGUGAUUUGUUAUGGCAGCGUUGGGAAACUCAUCCAAUGGGAAUAUUCACUUAUUGCAAGUGAAGUGUGAGACACUGAUGAGAAUAAAAGGGGAAACAGGCUCACACAAUCACAACCCCUUCUCCCAAUAAAAGGAAAAAAGAUGCAAUGCCUUAGAAAACCCUGAGAACUUGCUACCGUAGCCACGGCUGCAGG